RNAcentral lists this transfer RNA (69 nucleotides) under Aposthonia japonica. RNAcentral describes it as "tRNA-Lys". Lineage: Eukaryota; Metazoa; Arthropoda; Insecta; Embioptera; Oligotomidae. The record is from RNAcentral.
UUACUAGAUGGCUGAAAAUAAGCUUAGAUCUCUUAAAUCUUUAAAUAGUAAAUAUAUACUUCUAGUAAA